CUAUAUAUACAAUAUGCUGUCUGCAAAUAAAAACCCUAAAGACUCCACACAAAAACUAUUAGAACUAAUAAAUGAAUUCAGCAAAGUAGCAGGAUACAAGACUGACAUACAGCAAUCUGUUGCAUUUCAUUGCAAUGAAAUAUCAGAAAGAGGAAG
Long non-coding RNA from Aethalodelphis obliquidens (Pacific white-sided dolphin), 156 nucleotides. RefSeq lists it as uncharacterized. The record is from RefSeq and is a predicted model, not a curated record. The transcript has 2 exons. NCBI's taxonomy places the organism in Eukaryota, Metazoa, Chordata, Mammalia, Artiodactyla, Delphinidae.